This 253-nucleotide ribosomal RNA is filed under the name uncultured bacterium. RNAcentral describes it as "partial 16S ribosomal RNA". It matches the Rfam family "Bacterial small subunit ribosomal RNA", at positions 524 to 776 of the family's 1533-position model. The record is from RNAcentral.
AACGUAGGUGGCGAGCGUUAUCCGGAAUUACUGGGCGUAAAGCGUGUGCAGGCGGGCCAGCAAGUGGCGUAUGAAAGCUCCCGGCUCAACCGGGAAGGGUUAUGCCAGACUGCUAGUCUUGAGUGCGAGAGAGGAGCGUGGAAUUCCGGGUGUAGUGGUGAAAUGCGUAGAGAUCCGGAGGAACCCCAGAGGCGAAGGCGGCGCUCUGGCUCGCAACUGACGCUCAGACACGACAGCAUGGGGAGCGAACGGG